GACGAACGCUGGCGGCGUGCUUAACACAUGCAAGUCGUACGGUAAGGCCCUUUCGGGGGUCCACGAGUGGCGAACGGGUGAGUAACACGUGAGUAACCUGCCCUUGACUUUGGGAUAACUUCAGGAAACUGGGGCUAAUACCGGAUAGGAGCUCCUGCUGCAUGGUGGGGGUUGGAAAGUUUCGGCGGUUGGGGAUGGACUCGCGGCUUAUUAGCUUGUUGGUGGGGUAGUGGCUUACCAAGGCUUUGACGGGUAGCCGGCCUGAGAGGGUGACCGGCCACAUUGGGACUGAGAUACGGCCCAGACUCCUACGGGAGGCAGCAGUGGGGAAUAUUGCACAAUGGGCGGAAGCCUGAUGCAGCAACGCCGCGUGCGGGAUGACGGCCUUCGGGUUGUAAACCGCUUUCGCCUGUGACGAAGCGUGAGUGACGGUAAUGGGUAAAGAAGCACCGGCUAACUACGUG
This 464-nucleotide ribosomal RNA is filed under the name uncultured bacterium. RNAcentral's name for it is "partial 16S ribosomal RNA". It matches the Rfam family "Bacterial small subunit ribosomal RNA", at positions 28 to 507 of the family's 1533-position model. The record is from RNAcentral.